AGCCCACGAGAUCGCAUGAUCUUGGGGGAAAAGGAGCAAUCCGCUUUGAGAUGGCCUCGCGUCCGAUUAGCUAGUUGGUGAGGUAACGGCCCACCAAGGCGGCGAUCGGUAGCCGGACUGAGAGGUUGAACGGCCACAUUGGGACUGAGACACGGCCCAGACUCCUACGGGAGGCAGCAGUGGGGAAUAUUGCACAAUGGAGGAAACUCUGAUGCAGCGACGCCGCGUGGAGGAAGAAGGUCUUCGGAUUGUAAACUCCUGUUGUUGAGGACGAUAAUGACGGUACUCAACAAGGAAGUGACGGCUAACUACGUGCCAGCAGCCGCGGUAAAACGUAGGUCACAAGCGUUGUCCGGAAUUACUGGGUGUAAAGGGAGCGCAGGCGGGAAUGCAAGUUGGGAGUGAAAUCUACGGGCUCAACCCGUAAACUGCUCUCAAAACUGUAUUUCUUGAGUAGUGCAGAGGUAGGCGGAAUUCCCGGUGUAGCGGUGGAAUGCGUAGAUAUCGGGAGGAACACCAGUGGCGAAGGCGGCCUACUGGGCACCAACUGACGCUGAGGCUCGAAAGUGUGGGUAGCAAACAGGAUUAGAUACCCUGGUAGUCCACACCGUAAACGAUGAUUACUAGGUGUUGGGAGAUUGACCCUCUCAGUGCCGCAGU
RNAcentral lists this ribosomal RNA (660 nucleotides) under uncultured bacterium. RNAcentral's name for it is "bacterial SSU rRNA". It matches the Rfam family "Bacterial small subunit ribosomal RNA", at positions 173 to 852 of the family's 1533-position model. The record is from RNAcentral.